UCGGGUAUGGUGUAACGGCUAACAUUGCCGCCUCUCAUAGUAUAUUUGAGACUCCUACGCGGCAGCUCGGGGUUCGAUUCCCCGUACCCGAA
This 92-nucleotide transfer RNA is filed under the name Sphagnurus paluster. RNAcentral describes it as "tRNA-Glu". It matches the Rfam family "tRNA". From Rfam's summary of the family: Transfer RNA (tRNA) molecules are approximately 80 nucleotides in length. Lineage: Eukaryota; Fungi; Basidiomycota; Agaricomycetes; Agaricales; Lyophyllaceae. The record is from RNAcentral.